GCUGCUACAGCACCGAAACGACGAGCGGCGACCGUGACGCGUGAUGGCACCACGGUCCAAGAACAUGAAACGAGGAAUAGUCUGGAACGAGGAAGUCGAAGACGCAUUCCGGGUUCAGCUGGCUGGCUUUCGCGAUGCCACCGAGUAUGAGCAUUUUCACGGUGGAGAUCUGCCGGAUCGCUGGCCCAACGGCUUGGUGAAAGUUCUGAAGCUGAAGAUCGGCUACUUCUACUGCUAUAACCGUAAUCGUGAGUGUGCCCACAAGGACAUCCACUGCACCAAGAUCUACAGCUACUAGGUGCACGAUGUACACAUGAGCUGCUUGUGAUCAGCCAUGCAUGACUUCUGCAUAUUGUCAACUGUGACCAUGAAGGUAACAGGUGAGAGUAGUCUUCCGCUCCAGCACUCUCCCGUUUAUAAAACGAAGUUCACUUUCGAACAUUUCCAGUACGUCGAGCAUGGCCGUCUCAAUUGCAAGCCCCUUCAGUGUAUGCAGGUCGACUGGAGUAGGGAUUAUGAAACAUGUGAAGGGCAGAUCUGAUGCCAGACUGACGUGUGCUCAGAUAGAGAGGCCUCACCUCACAUGAAUGUCCUCAUCGGUUACUCCAUGUUUCAUUGUAUACGCUGGUAGCGUCAUGCUAUUCUCGAGUGCAGUGCCUUUCUUGUAGCUCUACAGUAGCCAGCAUGUGUAUGAUAUUC
Molecule: long non-coding RNA, 699 nt
Organism: Sycon ciliatum
Lineage: Eukaryota; Metazoa; Porifera; Calcarea; Leucosolenida; Sycettidae
Exons: 3
Source: RefSeq, a predicted model, not a curated record